UGCCGUGCUUAUAUAUGUAUGUAUAUAGGCUUCGCCGAGAAUUCGAGAUCCUACAUAUUAUAUACAAGUUUGGAAAUUGAACAGUUCAACUGAGAGAAUUAAACGUAUUUUGAAUUGAAUUGUGAAUAUGCUCUCUGUAAACUGUAAGUCGGCGAAUGUACCGAAUAGGAUCGACCGUAGACUGGAAACUGGAGACUGGAGGCAUUUGGAAUUUUUAUGGAUAUAAAUAGUACAACUUUAUAUCAAGCCGAAACUUCGUUACUACAAAGAAUUAUCAAAUGGUUGACGUUAUUGGAUGUGAAAUGCAAACAGUGUAAAUUACCUCAUCGUGAGAGUCCUCGGCUUCAAACGCAAUGUUCGGAA
Long non-coding RNA from Cotesia glomerata, 363 nucleotides. RefSeq lists it as uncharacterized. The record is from RefSeq and is a predicted model, not a curated record. The transcript has 3 exons. NCBI's taxonomy places the organism in Eukaryota, Metazoa, Arthropoda, Insecta, Hymenoptera, Braconidae.